RNAcentral lists this ribosomal RNA (497 nucleotides) under uncultured bacterium. RNAcentral's name for it is "partial 16S ribosomal RNA". It matches the Rfam family "Bacterial small subunit ribosomal RNA", at positions 899 to 1397 of the family's 1533-position model. The record is from RNAcentral.
ACUCAAAUGAAUUGACGGGGGCCCGCACAAGCGGUGGAUUAUGUGGUUUAAUUCGAAGCAACGCGAAGAACCUUACCUAGGUUUGACAUCCCAAGACAAACGUAGAAAUACGUCUUUCUCGCAAGAGACUUGGAGACAGGUGCUGCAUGGCUGUCGUCAGCUCGUGUUGUGAAAUGUUGGGUUAAGUCCCGCAACGAGCGCAACCCCUGGAAUUAGUUGCCAGCAUUAAGUUGGGCACUCUAAUUUGACUGCCGGCGUUAAGCCGGAGGAAGGUGGGGAUGACGUCAAGUCCUCAUGGCCCUUACACCUAGGGCUACACACGUAAUACAAUGGAUAGGACAAAGGGAUGCGAACCUGCGAGGGGGAGCUAAUCUCAAAAACCUGUCCUCAGUUCGGAUUGGAGGCUGCAAUUCGCCUCCAUGAAGGCGGAAUCGCUAGUAAUCGUGGAUCAGCACGCCACGGUGAAUACGUUCCCGGGCCUUGUACACACCGCCCGU